AGACAUGGUCCCCGUUCCUCUGAGGGCCAGAGGCAGGUUCUGCAGCUGCCUGCUGCCCUGACUAUGUUCUUGUUACUAAUUAAAGGUAGUGGCUGUGAAUUCAGUGUGAUACACAAUAAGUAUUCAUCACGUAAGCCUGGGUGACCUGGAUCUGCCUGCUGUGGAUCCUGUUUCCCUCUGCCUGGCUCCUUUGCAAAUUGCAUCUAGAGUGGUGGCCCUGAAUACACUCCUUGUACGCAUGUCCAAAUGCUGCUGUGUCUUCAGAACCAGGACACCUGCAGUAUUACCAACAGGUGCCAGUGACUUCUGGAAAACACAUGACUGUAGCUUCAUGGCCCUCACACUCUGCCUACAACCCUUCUUCUUCAGCCAAUCUCUUCAUGUCUCAUUUUGUGUGUAGUUCAACAACUUUAAUAAGACUUGCUUGUUUAAAGAUGCACACACUGAACCCUGGGCAGGAGAGGAUGCCCCGAGAUGUAAUCUAAGUGGCUUCCAAAGGCAAGGCAUACAUACUCUCUUGGCUCCCUCAUUCCUCCCUGUUAGCCUGCUCUAAAGACCUUCCUUUCUGAAGAAAACUCCCCAUAUAACGCAUCAAGCACUUCAGAUGAUGAAGAUGUCUCCAAGUGCCUCAUGAGAAAGAGUCUUGCUGGAGAAGACUGGCCUAGAACAGACAGAGACAUGAGGACCCUCCAUGAGACACAGCACAUGUAGGCCUUAGACACCUGCUUGCUGCCAAGUCACACAGCCAAGACAGAGGAUGUCACUCAGGGUCCUGCCAGUUGUGUAACCAGUCUGCAGCAGAAAGUUCCAGAAUGUGUAAGCAUGUGGUGGACAGGACUGGUUAUUCAGGGGGAUGAUCUAUCUAUGGAGAUAAGAGGACAGUUGAUGGAUUUCUGGCCACUGGCUGCAGGCAAGGUUGGCUUGAAGUGAGGCUGCCUGGGUGUGUGCCCCUGCAGGAAAAGCAGGAGGAAGGAGCCAGGCAAAGAGGACAGCCCUGUGUGGGAAGAUGUGUCACUGGUCAUUCUUUACAAAGAAAAUAAAAAUGAGAUUUCUUGUUGGCUGUCUUA
Mus musculus (house mouse) is the source of this 1067-nucleotide long non-coding RNA. RefSeq annotates it as predicted gene, 33045. The transcript has 6 exons. Lineage: Eukaryota; Metazoa; Chordata; Mammalia; Rodentia; Muridae. The record is from RefSeq and is marked validated.